This 496-nucleotide long non-coding RNA is filed under the name Anas platyrhynchos platyrhynchos (common mallard). Its description in RNAcentral is "lncRNA (ENSAPLG00000020436.1)". Lineage: Eukaryota; Metazoa; Chordata; Aves; Anseriformes; Anatidae. The record is from RNAcentral.
UACUGCUCUCUUUUCCACGUCCGUAAACAAGUUGGGUGUAAUUUCAAAGUAAGAUACUUCUACCUCCUGCCUUGUCUCACUUACUGGCAAGACUACAGAAUAAGACUGGUCUUUGCAAAGCAGAAUUAUUUUUUUUCCAAUAACCUGCAUCUGACACCAUUUUUUUUCCUAGAAUUUUCAGGAGAAAAAAAAAAAGAAAAAAAAAAAAGAACGAUGCAAAAUUCCACUCCCCCUCUCCCCCCAAGACAACAAGGUCUUCAGACUUGAAAGAACUUGAAAAACAGUCACAGAAAACAUGCUUGGAACAAGAGCUAAUUCAUCAAUCUAUGUACUCGGAACUGGAAAAGUUGUGACAGCUGCAAUAUUUAUGUUUAUGAAUUUACAGUCUCUUUGCUACUUUCUUCUUCUUCUUCUUCUUCUCUUCUAAAUGUGUAUAUAUAUAUACAAUAUAUGUUAAACUAUUUGAUUUUAUGAUGAAUAAAUAAUUUCUACCACA